Molecule: ribosomal RNA, 120 nt
Filed under: Pseudotaxus chienii
Lineage: Eukaryota; Viridiplantae; Streptophyta; Pinopsida; Cupressales; Taxaceae
Source: RNAcentral
GGGUGCAAUCAUACUAGCGUUUGUGCACCGGAUCCCAUCAGAACUCUACAGUUAAGCGUUCUUGGGAAAGAGUAGUCCUGGGAUGGGUGACCUCCUGGGAAGUCCCUGUGUUACACCCUC